GAUGAACGCUGGCGGCGUGCCUAAUACAUGCAAGUCGAGCGAACAGACGAGGAGCUUGCUCCUCUGACGUUAGCGGCGGACGGGUGAGUAACACGUGGAUAACCUACCUAUAAGACUGGGAUAACUUCGGGAAACCGGAGCUAAUACCGGAUAAUAUAUUGAACCGCAUGGUUCAAUAGUGAAAGACGGUUUUGCUGUCACUUAUAGAUGGAUCCGCGCCGCAUUAGCUAGUUGGUAAGGUAACGGCUUACCAAGGCAACGAUGCGUAGCCGACCUGAGAGGGUGAUCGGCCACACUGGAACUGAGACACGGUCCAGACUCCUACGGGAGGCAGCAGUAGGGAAUCUUCCGCAAUGGGCGAAAGCUUGACGGAGCAACGCCGCGUGAGUGAUGAAGGUCUUCGGAUCGUAAAACUCUGUUAUUAGGGAAGAACAAAUGUGUAAGUAACUAUGGACGUCUUGACGGUACCUAAUCAGAAAGCCACGGCUAACUACGUG
This 497-nucleotide ribosomal RNA is filed under the name uncultured bacterium. Its description in RNAcentral is "partial 16S ribosomal RNA". It matches the Rfam family "Bacterial small subunit ribosomal RNA", at positions 28 to 507 of the family's 1533-position model. The record is from RNAcentral.